UGCUGGCUGUGACACAGCCGCUUGGGCUCUUAGGCUGGGCUAGGGGCUAGGAGGGUAGGUAUUUCCCCAGCUCGCUCGAGGUGUAACUCGCCAGCGCUGUAGCGAGCUCGCCAGAUGUGUGGGUCUGUACAGCGAGGCUUGAGGAAAGUGUCAAUGUCAGAUUGCCCAGGGGGAAAGCCUGGCCCUGAGCUGCUGUUGGGAGGAGGCUGGAGCUGGAAGAGGAACUAUGACUUUUGUGAUCACCAUGUGGUUAGCUGAGGAAACGCCUCUCUCAAACGCCUUCAUGUCAGGAGACUGCAUCUAGGAGCAUCCGUCUAUGUAGCCAGUGUCUCGCCCCCUCACUUUCUCAGUUAUCUUUCAGGAACGAAUGCACAUGUAUAUUGACUAUCUUACAUUAUUCAAUGGUGGGAUACUCACACAUUUUAAUGCAGACUUUAAUUUAGAACAGAGUAUGUUUAGUAUUCACAUGAGAAUGGGGAAGAAAGUAUCAUCUUGAUAAAAUAACUAAUCUUCAGUGAAACCUAAUCGUAUUUUUUGCAGUAGCAUAUAAAUUUGAACUGACCUUUUCUGUUCCCUACCUUAACUCUCUUACUGUAAAGGAGGUGAUGUUUUCGUGAACAAUACGAGUUCCAGGAAAGGGGUCAGACAGGUGUUAAUACUGAAGUUAUCUUGGAUUAAGGAAUUCCUAUUAAAAGUCAUGAGCCUCUUGAA
This is a long non-coding RNA of Chelonoidis abingdonii (Abingdon island giant tortoise), 711 nucleotides long. RefSeq lists it as uncharacterized. Lineage: Eukaryota; Metazoa; Chordata; Testudines; Testudinidae. The record is from RefSeq and is a predicted model, not a curated record.